CAGAACGAACGCUGGCGGCGCGUUUUAAGCAUGCAAGUCGAGCGGCAAGGGCCUUCGGGCCCCUAGAGCGGCGGACGGGUGAGUAACACGUGGACAAUCUGCCCCCCGGCCCGGGAUAGCCCAGGGAAACCUGGAUUAAUACCGGAUGAGACGGGACCCGCGAUGGCGGGAUCCGGGAAAGGCGCUGCGGCGCCGCCGGGGGAUGAGUCUGCGUCCCAUUAGCUAGACGGCGGGGUAACGGCCCACCGUGGCGACGAUGGGUAGCCGGCCUGAGAGGGUGGACGGCCACAUUGGAACUGAGACACGGUCCAGACUCCUACGGGAGGCAGCAGCUAAGAAUCUUCCGCAAUGGGCGAAAGCCUGACGGAAGCGACGCCGCGUGAACGAAGAAGGCCGUGAGGUUGUAAAGUUCUUUUCGGGAGGGGGAACAACCGUGGCAGGGAAUGGCCGCGGGAUGACGUGAAUCCCGGAAUAAGCCCCGGCUAACUACGUGCCAGCCGCCGC
RNAcentral lists this ribosomal RNA (504 nucleotides) under uncultured bacterium. RNAcentral describes it as "bacterial SSU rRNA". It matches the Rfam family "Bacterial small subunit ribosomal RNA", at positions 25 to 518 of the family's 1533-position model. The record is from RNAcentral.